UACGUAGGGUGCGAGCGUUGUCCGGAAUUAUUGGGCGUAAAGAGCUCGUAGGCGGUUUGUCACGUCGUUCGUGAAAACCUGCAGCUUAACUGUGGGCGUGCGGUCGAUACUGGCAUCACUGGAGUUCGGCAGGGGAGACUGGAAUUCCUGGUGUAGCGGUGAAAUGCGCAGAUAUCAGGAGGAACACCGGUGGCGAAGGCGGGUCUCUGGGCAUUACCUGACGCUGAGGAGCGAAAGUGUGGGGAGCGAACAGG
RNAcentral lists this ribosomal RNA (254 nucleotides) under uncultured bacterium. Its description in RNAcentral is "partial 16S ribosomal RNA". It matches the Rfam family "Bacterial small subunit ribosomal RNA", at positions 524 to 776 of the family's 1533-position model. The record is from RNAcentral.